RNAcentral lists this ribosomal RNA (722 nucleotides) under Brevibacterium linens. RNAcentral's name for it is "bacterial SSU rRNA". It matches the Rfam family "Bacterial small subunit ribosomal RNA", at positions 51 to 783 of the family's 1533-position model. Lineage: Bacteria; Bacillati; Actinomycetota; Actinomycetes; Micrococcales; Brevibacteriaceae. The record is from RNAcentral.
ACACAUGCAAGUCGAACGCUGAAGCCAGAAGCUUGCUUCUGGUGGAUGAGUGGCGAACGGGUGAGUAACACGUGAGUAACCUGCCCCUGAUUUCGGGAUAAGCCUGGGAAACCGGGUCUAAUACCGGAUACGACCAUCCCUCGCAUGAGGGUUGGUGGAAAGUUUUUCGAUCGGGGAUGGGCUCGCGGCCUAUCAGCUUGUUGGUGGGGUAAUGGCCUACCAAGGCGACGACGGGUAGCCGGCCUGAGAGGGCGACCGGCCACACUGGGACUGAGACACGGCCCAGACUCCUACGGGAGGCAGCAGUGGGGAAUAUUGCACAAUGGGGGAAACCCUGAUGCAGCGACGCAGCGUGCGGGAUGACGGCCUUCGGGUUGUAAACCGCUUUCAGCAGGGAAGAAGCGUAAGUGACGGUACCUGCAGAAGAAGUACCGGCUAACUACGUGCCAGCAGCCGCGGUAAUACGUAGGGUACGAGCGUUGUCCGGAAUUAUUGGGCGUAAAGAGCUCGUAGGUGGUUGGUCACGUCUGCUGUGGAAACGCAACGCUUAACGUUGCGCGUGCAGUGGGUACGGGCUGACUAGAGUGCAGUAGGGGAGUCUGGAAUUCCUGGUGUAGCGGUGAAAUGCGCAGAUAUCAGGAGGAACACCGGUGGCGAAGGCGGGACUCUGGGCUGUAACUGACACUGAGGAGCGAAAGCAUGGGGAGCGAACAGGAUUAGAU